UAGUGUCACAGGUCGGAGCUGACCACAGAUGUUGUGAGUCACGCCCCUUCCUAAUUUCCACCUCGAGGAGGUCCCAAGAAUACCCCAAUGACCAGACACACGAGAGCCGGUAAGUAAAUUUUAAAACAGACUUUAUUAAAUUACUAAAAAAAAAGGGUAUGGGGAAGGGAGGCUAAAAUCCAACCCUCCUUUUGGAGAGUAACAAUCUCGAGUCUCUUAGACUCCGUCACGGGAGAUCUCAGGUGAGUCCUUCACUCCUCUUUCCUUCUGGCUAUGUGACGACAAUCAGCUUAUUCACAAGUGCCCCUUUGUUCUGACUUGCAGGACGACUGUCCAGGGCCCUCUCCUUUCCUGGACGUAACAGAUACAAGUGGUAAGUAUUGAGAGUUUGGAUGCACAAUGGAUACCUGCUGCUACCUUUGACGAACUCCGAGGCGGCCCAGCGGGUUGUACUCCCGGUCGUCCAGCUGCUGGGGGAACUGCACAAGGGCUACCGGGUUCCAACUAAAACCGUACUGGUAAGUGUACGGGAGGGGGUUUCCGCGGUCUCUGUAUCCUGAGUGACGAGUCGACAUGCAGGUAGACGCUUCAAAGGGACCCGCUAGAUCUGCACAAAAGCAUAAGUGUAAGUGUAACAGGACUGGACACGGAUAGUGGACAGAGGGGCCGCUGGCUCUUCACUCGGAGGCACAAGUAAGUCCGUAGGAAAGACAACUGGGGUUUCACUUGAGCAUGCAGGCGAGUGUACAACACAAUAUGCUGGCUUUAGCUUUGGGCAUAAGGUAAGUACAUCCAAUAUAACUGGGACUUCACUCUGGGCAGACAGGCGAGUGUACAACACAAUAUGCUGGCUUUAGCUUUGGGCAUAAGGUAAGUACAUCCAAUAUAACUGGGACUUCACUUGGGCAUACAGGAGCGUAAAACACAAUAUGCUGGCUUUAGCUUUGGGCAUAAGGUAAGUACAUCAAAGGUAACUGGGACUUCACUCUGGGCAGACAGGUGAGUGUACAACACAAUAUGCUGGCUUUAGCUUUGGGCAUACGUUUACGGUGAAUAUACAGGGAAACAGGAAGUGAUGUAACUCACAGACCUUCGAGGGAAUAGACGUCAGACGUUCCUUUUCUGAGGCUUCUACCAACCGACAAGUCAAGAGAUCUAGACAGGGGCGAACCUUUGAAGAACUCCACAGCAGGUAAUAAUACACGCACAGCUGAUUUCCUCCUACAGCAGCCAACUCCUCACCAUUAAUACUUCCCAGUAGAUCCACACUGUUCUUACUUGAAAUUGUUUCCCACCACCGUCACGUGGGGAAGAAGGGUCAGGAUGUCAUCGACGGCAUAUAAUUGGAGAUGUUUUCUUCGAGCCUCGGUAUUCACUUCCUUCACAGGAUUUCGUCGGGCCUGAAAGGUGGUUGUUGACGACACAACACAGCACAACACUGCAAUUUUCAAGUGUAUACACUCACAGCAAAGGACAAAGACUCACCCACUGCACUCCACACACUCUGGUGAAUUUAGGGUCAACACCCCGUCUGACCAAAGACUCUUCCUGGAAGUCGUGAAGACACUGAUGCCACGAAUAUUCAGAUUUAAACGUUGCCGCCACAACAGCCCAACAUCCUCUCUCGCUCACUGGUCCCGGCUCACCCACAAUCCUCCUCCACAGUGGGGCCGCUCACAUACUAUGCCACAAACUCACAAAACGCUCACAGAUGGUUCACUCUAGAUGAUUAUACUGCUGUACGAUGGUUUAGGGUACUCACACCGUUACUACACGAGGUCUCUUUUCCCUCUUCUUUCCAGCUCCUGGGUACUUCUCCUGCUGCCACGUGCCCUGUCGAAAAGGCCUCCUUCGGCGAUACUUCCGGUGAGUCUUCCUGUUUUCAACCACUCAGAAUUUGUUACACAUGUCCAUGGAGCAUUUCACAGUUAAGUAGACAUUCCAAUAUACUCAGCCCGGUGUCUGUUUCUGCCAAACCCUUGUCUCCGUCUUUGCCCAGCCAACAAUAUCCUCUGCCUUCUUUCCACGGUACUCGCCCAAACACUCCAACUCUCUCGCCGUAUCGGCUGAAAUAAAACAAAGAACUUUUUCCCCCCCUCUGCAGUUUCUGAGGCCCUCUUUAUACUCCUCCUUCUCUUCAUACUGCCCAAUCCACGAUCGCCCCGUUCAUCUAUCCACCUGCGAUCAAUAAAACCCUGAUUUCCCUUCCCGGAGUUCCCGGUGUUUGAGAAUUAUGGUCCGGGUGGAACCAAUCUCCGUCAUUUUUUAGUUCCGCCCUUACGAAGUCACUCCGUGACACU
Cyprinus carpio carpio is the source of this 2300-nucleotide long non-coding RNA. Lineage: Eukaryota; Metazoa; Chordata; Actinopteri; Cypriniformes; Cyprinidae. The record is from Ensembl.